AGAUUAAGUUAUUAAGGGCGCACGGUGGAUGCCUUGGCACUAGAAGCCGAUGAAGGACGUUACUAACGACGAUAUGCUUUGGGGAGCUGUAAGUAAGCUUUGAUCCAGAGAUUUCCGAAUGGGGAAACCCAGCAUGAGUUAUGUCAUGUUAUCGAUAUGUGAAUACAUAGCAUAUCAGAAGGCACACCCGGAGAACUGAAACAUCUUAGUACCCGGAGGAAGAGAAAGAAAAUUCGAUUCCCUUAGUAGCGGCGAGCGAAACGGGAAGAGCCCAAACCAACAAGCUUGCUUGUUGGGGUUGUAGGACACUCUAUACGGAGUUACAAAGGACGACAUUAGACGAAUCAUCUGGAAAGAUGAAUCAAAGAAGGUAAUAAUCCUGUAGUCGAAAAUGUUGUCUCUCUUGAGUGGAUCCUGAGUACGACGGAGCACGUGAAAUUCCGUCGGAAUCUGGGAGGACCAUCUCCUAAGGCUAAAUACUCUCUAGUGACCGAUAGUGAACCAGUACCGUGAGGGAAAGGUGAAAAGCACCCCGGAAGGGGAGUGAAAUAGAACCUGAAACCGUGUGCUUACAAGUAGUCAGAGCCCGUUAAUGGGUGAUGGCGUGCCUUUUGUAGAAUGAACCGGCGAGUUACGAUUUGAUGCAAGGUUAAGCAGUAAAUGUGGAGCCGUAGCGAAAGCGAGUCUGAAUAGGGCGUUUAGUAUUUGGUCGUAGACCCGAAACCAGGUGAUCUACCCUUGGUCAGGUUGAAGUUCAGGUAACACUGAAUGGAGGACCGAACCGACUUACGUUGAAAAGUGAGCGGAUGAACUGAGGGUAGCGGAGAAAUUCCAAUCGAACCUGGAGAUAGCUGGUUCUCUCCGAAAUAGCUUUAGGGCUAGCCUCAAGUGAUGAUUAUUGGAGGUAGAGCACUGUUUGGACGAGGGGCCCCUCUCGGGUUACCGAAUUCAGACAAACUCCGAAUGCCAAUUAAUUUAACUUGGGAGUCAGAACAUGGGUGAUAAGGUCCGUGUUCGAAAGGGAAACAGCCCAGACCACCAGCUAAGGUCCCAAAAUAUAUGUUAAGUGGAAAAGGAUGUGGCGUUGCCCAGACAACUAGGAUGUUGGCUUAGAAGCAGCCAUCAUUUAAAGAGUGCGUAAUAGCUCACUAGUCGAGUGACACUGCGCCGAAAAUGUACCGGGGCUAAACAUAUUACCGAAGCUGUGGAUUGUCCUUUGGACAAUGGUAGGAGAGCGUUCUAAGGGCGUUGAAGCAUGAUCGUAAGGACAUGUGGAGCGCUUAGAAGUGAGAAUGCCGGUGUGAGUAGCGAAAGACGGGUGAGAAUCCCGUCCACCGAUUGACUAAGGUUUCCAGAGGAAGGCUCGUCCGCUCUGGGUUAGUCGGGUCCUAAGCUGAGGCCGACAGGCGUAGGCGAUGGAUAACAGGUUGAUAUUCCUGUACCACCUAUAAUCGUUUUAAUCGAUGGGGGGACGCAGUAGGAUAGGCGAAGCGUGCGAUUGGAUUGCACGUCUAAGCAGUAAGGCUGAGUAUUAGGCAAAUCCGGUACUCGUUAAGGCUGAGCUGUGAUGGGGAGAAGACAUUGUGUCUUCGAGUCGUUGAUUUCACACUGCCGAGAAAAGCCUCUAGAUAGAAAAUAGGUGCCCGUACCGCAAACCGACACAGGUAGUCAAGAUGAGAAUUCUAAGGUGAGCGAGCGAACUCUCGUUAAGGAACUCGGCAAAAUGACCCCGUAACUUCGGGAGAAGGGGUGCUCUUUAGGGUUAACGCCCAGAAGAGCCGCAGUGAAUAGGCCCAAGCGACUGUUUAUCAAAAACACAGGUCUCUGCUAAACCGUAAGGUGAUGUAUAGGGGCUGACGCCUGCCCGGUGCUGGAAGGUUAAGAGGAGUGGUUAGCUUCUGCGAAGCUACGAAUCGAAGCCCCAGUAAACGGCGGCCGUAACUAUAACGGUCCUAAGGUAGCGAAAUUCCUUGUCGGGUAAGUUCCGACCCGCACGAAAGGCGUAACGAUUUGGGCACUGUCUCAACGAGAGACUCGGUGAAAUCAUAGUACCUGUGAAGAUGCAGGUUACCCGCGACAGGACGGAAAGACCCCGUGGAGCUUUACUGUAGCCUGAUAUUGAAAUUCGGC
Molecule: ribosomal RNA, 2130 nt
Filed under: Staphylococcus aureus
Lineage: Bacteria; Bacillati; Bacillota; Bacilli; Caryophanales; Staphylococcaceae
Description: bacterial LSU rRNA
Rfam family: Bacterial large subunit ribosomal RNA
Source: RNAcentral